UUACUUACUUGACAGGGGAGAGUUGGUGAUCACUGCUGCUGCUCUCCGAGGAUGUGGCUAUCCCUUACACGUUGGGUGUGUUAACGCUUGCAAUCUCCUCAAAUGCGGAGUAGUCGACUGCACAAUUUGUGGCGGUGGGGGCUGCGUUCGCACUUUCAAG
Molecule: small nuclear RNA, 160 nt
Organism: Amblyraja radiata (thorny skate)
Lineage: Eukaryota; Metazoa; Chordata; Chondrichthyes; Rajiformes; Rajidae
Product: U1 spliceosomal RNA
Exons: 1
Source: RefSeq, a predicted model, not a curated record